Molecule: ribosomal RNA, 459 nt
Filed under: uncultured bacterium
Lineage: Bacteria
Description: bacterial SSU rRNA
Rfam family: Bacterial small subunit ribosomal RNA
Source: RNAcentral
UGCAAGUCGAGCGGUAGCACAGGAGAGCUUGCUCUUUGGGUGACGAGCGGCGGACGGGUGAGUAAUGUCUGGGAAACUGCCUGAUGGAGGGGGAUAACUACUGGAAACGGUAGCUAAUACCGCAUGAUGUCGCAAGACCAAAGUGGGGGACCUUCGGGCCUCACGCCAUCGGAUGUGCCCAGAUGGGAUUAGCUAGUAGGUGAGGUAAUGGCUCACCUAGGCGACGAUCCCUAGCUGGUCUGAGAGGAUGACCAGCCACACUGGAACUGAGACACGGUCCAGACUCCUACGGGAGGCAGCAGUGGGGAAUAUUGCACAAUGGGCGCAAGCCUGAUGCAGCCAUGCCGCGUGUGUGAAGAAGGCCUUAGGGUUGUAAAGCACUUUCAGCGAGGAGGAAGGCGUUGCAGUUAAUAGCUGCAGCGAUUGACGUUACUCGCAGAAGAAGCACCGGCUAACUCC